Molecule: long non-coding RNA, 1215 nt
Filed under: Canis lupus familiaris (dog)
Lineage: Eukaryota; Metazoa; Chordata; Mammalia; Carnivora; Canidae
Description: lncRNA (ENSCAFG00030024631.1)
Source: RNAcentral
AUGGGUGGGAGAUGGGGGCUCCCAGUCCCAAAGCAGGCGGGCCGGGAUGCCUCGUUAGUGUCCCCUACCCGCCCCCCUCGGGUCAGGCAGGCUCAGCAGCAAAGGGAUAGGGACAGGGACUGGGCCAGAAGAGUGAGUCCUAGAAGGCUGCGGGCAGGGCGUGCGACUCCCUUCCACCCCCCAGGAGCCACGGGCCCCCCAUCCCCGCCCCCUCGGGAGCUGCAGUGGGGCGCGGAGGGCGGUUGGGGCGUCUGCGCGGUGCUGGGGACCCAAGCCCGGGGAGGCGACCCCAGCCCCAGCCUGCAGGGGGGGCUCUGCUACCCCAGGCUCUGCUCCCGCCGCCCCGCGGCCAGGAGGCGUGCCGGGGGCGCGGGUCUCCCACCCCCCUCCCCCCUCCCGCGUCCCGGGGGGCAGCCCCUGUUCUCCUCUCUAGCCUCAACUUCCCCACGGCGCCCGUGCGUGUGUGUGUGUGUGUGUGUGUGUGUGUGUGUGUGGUGGGGGAGGGGGAGCUCGGCAGCGGGAUUCCCCGCGGGGAAGCAGCCCAGUCCCCUCCCUCCCCCCUCCCCCCUCCCCCCCUCCCCCCGGGCUGUUCGGGACCCUGGACCGAAACAGGAGGCAGGACGCCCCCGGCCGGGAAGCGGCCCCAGCCCGGAUUUCCCUCCCGGGUGGGGCCGCAAUGACUCACCCCCCUCCCCCUUCCCCGGUUUCCUUGUUUGCAUUUCUCCUCCCGGCCACGUGGCGGCCUGUGGCGCGGCUCAGCGCGGGGACCCCGGACCCCGACCCCGGCACCCCAGGCACCCCGGGACCUCGGCACCCCGGCAUCCCGGCACGCGCCCCGCGCCGCUCCUGGCCCCGGGCUGCUCCGGCCCCCGCCCGCCCCGAGCCGCGACUCCUCCCCCCCCCCCCCCCCCCCCCCCCCCCCCCCGUCGGGCCGGGCGCCGCCUCCCCGCGCUCGCAGCGCGUCGCGGGAGGGAAGGGGCGGGCAGCGCAGGGGGUGUGACAGCUCCCGCCCGGCCCGGUGCCAGCUGCGGCCUCGCUUCGGCGCCCCGUGCCAGCUGGCUCAUUCGUCUGGGACAGAGGCGGAGGCUCGGGGCUCCUCGCCGCUGGCUGGGGGGGCUCCCCCCACGCCCCCUGCGCUCCCCCCCAAGGGAGCCUCUCCCCCCCCACCCCGGCUGGCCCGUGGCCCCGCAGGCAGCAGGUCCAGCUAGGAAUUAG